This 521-nucleotide ribosomal RNA is filed under the name uncultured bacterium. RNAcentral's name for it is "partial 16S ribosomal RNA". It matches the Rfam family "Bacterial small subunit ribosomal RNA", at positions 28 to 523 of the family's 1533-position model. The record is from RNAcentral.
GACGAACGCUGGCGGCGUGCCUAAUACAUGCAAGUCGAGCGGGCCUCCGGAGGUGCUUGCACCUCCGGAAGGCCAGCGGCGGACGGGUGAGUAACACGUGGGCAACCUGCCUUUGAGGCCGGGAUAACACCGGGAAACCGGUGCUAAUACCGGAUACGUCCUCUUUCGCGCCUGCGAGAGGGGAGAAAGACGGUCUUUAAGGCCGUCGCUCAAAGAGGGGCCCGCGGCGCAUUAGCUGGUUGGUGGGGUAAGGGCCUACCAAGGCGACGAUGCGUUGCCGACCUGAGAGGGUGAUCGGCCACACUGGGACUGGGACACGGCCCAGACUCCUGCGGGAGGCAGCAGUAGGGAAUCAUCCGCAAUGGGCGAAAGCCUGACGGUGCAACGCUGCGUGUGUGAGGAAGGUUUUCGGAUCGUAAAGCUCUGUUGUGAGGGAAGAACAGCUUCCGGAGGAAAUGCCGGAGGUUUGCCGGUACCUCACCAGAAAGCCCCGGCUAACUACGUGCCAGCCGCCGCAGUAA